This 776-nucleotide long non-coding RNA is filed under the name Gossypium raimondii (Peruvian cotton). Its description in RNAcentral is "long non-coding RNA (GRAI_LNC003688)". The record is from RNAcentral. Lineage: Eukaryota; Viridiplantae; Streptophyta; Magnoliopsida; Malvales; Malvaceae.
CUUCUAAUAUCUUACUUUCAUAAAAAAUUAAAAUAUUUUCUAAAAACAUACGAAUGAUGUUACUUUUAGUCUUAACCAUUAUAUAGCAAGUAUUAUCCUUCUACAAAGAAAUAAAAGGUUAACCUUCUCUAGUUUCCAACCUAGCAUGAAUAUAUGAGAAAGAGGGAUGAAUGGUGAAAAACUUAGGUAACAAAAACAUGGUUAUUAAAAACGAAGUUCUCAUCUGGGAUUGAAAGUUGGUUAUUAAAAAUUUAACUAGCCUGACAGAAGUUAAUUGCUAAACAUAGCUGGUGCUUAAUUAUCUAAACAGAAAAUAAUGAUAUAUCUAUUAUAUACUAAUCCUCAGGUUUCAUAAACUUAAAGCCUGACAUGUGACAUAUGGACAAGAAAAACGCACACUUUCACAUAUGCAAUCACUUAAAUGCAGCUUGGGCAAUUUUGAAUUCAAAAGAAAUCUCAAAACUGUGUAUCAUUUCAUCCAAAUUUUAGCUACUGCAUAGCAUUUGUAUCCAAAAACAAAGAAAUUCCACCAUUUAAAGUCUAGUAAAGCAAACACGUCGUGCAUAUCAGUAAUUCAUCAAAUUCAAAAACAUAGACAUGGCAAUAUAUCCACAAUAAAUAUAAAUUACAAUAGUUUAGACUGAAGAGUGCUAAACAAUACCCAUUAGCAGAAAACACUUUUAAACUAAUUCAAUCUUACAUCAGUGAGAACAAGAGCAGAAAUAAGCACGUGAAAACAAUGCAAAAUCAGCGUAUCUUAGAAAAAAAGGGUAAAA